AGAGUUUGAUCAUGGCUCAGGAUUAACGCUGGCGGUACGUCUAAUACAUGCAAGUCGAACGGAGCAGAAAUGCUCAGUGGCGAACGGGUGAGUAACACGUAGGUAACCUGCCCUUAAGACGAGGAUAACUCUGGGAAACUAGAGCUAAUACUGGAUUGGAAGCAAACUUGGCAUCAAGAAAGCUUAAAAGGGUGCUUUACGGCACUGCUUAAGGAGGGGCCUGCGGCGCAUUAGUUAGUUGGUGAGGUAAGAGCUCACCAAGACGAUGAUGCGUAGCUGGACUGAGAGGUUGAACAGCCACACUGGGACUGAGAACGGCCCAGACUCCUACGGGAGGCAGCAGUAGAGAAUCUUCGGCAAUGGGGGGAACCCUGACCGAGCGAUACCGCGUGAUUGAAGAAAUACUUCGGUAUGUAAAGAUCUUUUACAAAGGAUGAAUGGCGUUAGGAGGAAAUGCCUAAUGAGUGACAGUACUUUAGGAAUAAGCCCCGGCUAACUAUGUGCCAGCAGCCGCGGUAAUACAUAGGGGGCAAGCGUUAUCCGGAAUUAUUGGGCGUAAAGGGUGCGUAGGCGGCUACUUAAGUUUAUGGUCUAAAUUCAAGGCUCAACCUUGAAAUGCUUUAAAAACUGGGUGGCUUGAGAGAGGUAGAGGCAAGUGGAAUUCCAUGUGUAGCGGUAAAAUGCGUAAAUAUAUGGAGGAACACCAGUGGCGAAGGCGGCUUGCUGGGCCUUAUCUGACGCUGACGCACGAAAGCGUGGGGAGCAAACAGGAUUAGAUACCCUGGUAGUCCACGCCGUAAACGAUGAGUACUAAGUGUCGGAACAAUUCGGUGCUGCAGUUAACGCAUUAAGUACUCCGCCUGAGUAGUACGUGCGCAAGCAUAAAACUCAAAGGAAUUGACGG
This 904-nucleotide ribosomal RNA is filed under the name uncultured bacterium. Its description in RNAcentral is "bacterial SSU rRNA". It matches the Rfam family "Bacterial small subunit ribosomal RNA", at positions 8 to 916 of the family's 1533-position model. The record is from RNAcentral.